GGAGAAUCCCAGGGACAGGGAGCCUGAUGGGCUGCCUUCUAUGGGGUCGCACAGGGUCGGACACGACUGAAGCGACUUAGCAGCAGCAGCAGCAAGUCUGUUUGGGUUGCUGUAACAAAAUAACACAGACUGUGUGACUGUGGUAUUAUUUCUCACAGUUACAGAGGCAGGAAGGUCCAAAUUCAAGGUGCUGGCAGGUAUAGUGUCUGGUGAGCACCAGCUUCCUGGUUCCCACAUGACUCUUUUCACCUGGAGGAAGAGGUACCUAGAAAGGUGCUUUCUAGGGUCUCUUGUAUAAGAGCACUAACCCCAUUCCUGGAGGCUCUGUUCUUAUGACCUAAUCACCCCAAAGCCCCACUUCCAAAUAUUAUUACACUGGGUAUAAGGUUUGAACACAUAAAUUUGGGGGGGCACAGUCUAUAUCAACUAUUUUAUUAUAUGCUCUGCCUUGUAUUUUCUUGUCAAAGAAAGCCUAAGUAGGGCAGGUUAGCUGGCAGGAGAAAAAUGUUAAACUUUUCACAUUUUAUGUUUUCUCUGAAGGCCCACUGGCUCUCACCAUUUAUGGAAUUGCCUUGGCUACUCAAGGGACCAGAUGUUCCCUGGGGUUGUGACCCACUGCUCCUGCAUUUAGCCUCCUGGCUGGCUGCUUGCUUGCUUGGACUCAGCCCAGUACAGAUGGCAUUACUGCUAAAUCAGAGAGAAUGACACUCGGUUUCCUGGUCCUCCUUCAAGUUGCUACUUUGUUGGUAGUCAGAGACCUCUAACUCCUUACGGAAGGUGUGAUAUUGAGGAGAAAAGAAGUAACACAGUGUGAGUUAAGAGGGCGAGAGUGACAAGCCCAGAGGACAACGAGAUGACCAGAUCAACUCCUAUGGAGAAAAAGUGAAGCUUCCCUGAAAGUCUGGAGGAGAUUUGCUCGGUAAAGGCUAGUAAGGGAGAUGCUGCCAUGGAGUGAGGAGGACCCCAGGGACGGCAGAAUGAGAUAUGAAGGCAUUCCUGGGAAGCCCCCAGCUAACAGGUUCAUAUGUGCGGAUCACUGGAUAAUGGGAUCCACAGCCACAGAAGCACAGUGUCAACACAGUCUGCUACUGCCUAGCGCUCAGUGGUCUCCUUGGAAACCAACGAGGCUGCAGGGAAUCUGGGCGGCAGGUAAGCUGAGCAGGGAGGUGAGUCACAUUCGGAAAGGGCCAAUUCACAAUUCCCUGUGCCUCUGAUUCAUCCCUGCCUACUCCCACGUCUCUCUGUGUAGAGUUCAUUCACAUUACCUCUUGGUGAAUGCUUACCGAGGCCCCAAAGUAAUGCUGGACACUGUACACCUGCUUCUAGGAAGAAACACUCCAUGGAAGAGCUGUCAUCCCCAAAAGAAAUUGAAAGUAUUAGUCACUCAGUCCUGUCUGACUUUUUCAGAUCCCGUGGGCUGUAGCCGGUCAGGCUCCUCUGUCCAUGGAAUUCUCCAGGCAAGAAUACUGGAGUGGGUAGCCAUUUCCUUCUCCAGGGGAUCUUCCCAAUCCAGGGAUUGAACCCAGGUCUUCUGCAUUGGAGGCAGAUUCUUUACUGUCUGAGCCACCAUGGAAGCCCUGAGUCUUCCUCAACUUUCAAUUUAAGAACUUUAAUGAACUUCAAGCUGAGGCUUGUUUUCUGCCAAGCUCCUCCCUUCUCUGUUCUUUGAGCAUCUUGUCUACAGGGGCCAAAUGUGCAGUGGCUCUCAAUACAUUACAAAUAAUGUAAUAAUGGGAGGGGAAGAGGCUCCAGAGUCUUGU
Bos indicus x Bos taurus (hybrid cattle) is the source of this 1760-nucleotide long non-coding RNA. Lineage: Eukaryota; Metazoa; Chordata; Mammalia; Artiodactyla; Bovidae. The record is from Ensembl.